GACAGAGGGUGCAAGCGUUGUUCGGAAUCAUUGGGCGUAAAGCGCGCGUAGGCGGCUAGUUAAGCCGGAUGUGAAAGCCCGGGGCUCAACCUCGGAAGUGCAUCCGGAACUGAUUAGCUUGAGUCCUGGAGAGGGUGGUGGAAUUCCCGGUGUAGAGGUGAAAUUCGUAGAUAUCGGGAGGAACACCAGUGGCGAAGGCGACCACCUGGACAGUGACUGACGCUGAGGUGCGAAAGCGUGGGUAGCAAACAGG
This 253-nucleotide unclassified non-coding RNA is filed under the name uncultured Myxococcales bacterium. RNAcentral describes it as "contains 16S-23S intergenic spacer region". It matches the Rfam family "Bacterial small subunit ribosomal RNA", at positions 524 to 776 of the family's 1533-position model. The record is from RNAcentral. Lineage: Bacteria; Pseudomonadati; Myxococcota; Myxococcia; Myxococcales.